RNAcentral lists this transfer RNA (70 nucleotides) under Ovis aries (sheep). It matches the Rfam family "tRNA". Rfam says of the family: Transfer RNA (tRNA) molecules are approximately 80 nucleotides in length. Their secondary structure includes four short double-helical elements and three loops (D, anti-codon, and T loops). Lineage: Eukaryota; Metazoa; Chordata; Mammalia; Artiodactyla; Bovidae. The record is from Rfam by way of RNAcentral.
UCCCUGGUGGAUGAGGUUAAAGCGUCUGCCUCCAAGGCAGGAGACCCGGGUUCGAUCCCUGGGUUGGGAA